UGGGGAAUAUUGCACAAUGGGCGAAAGCCUGAUGCAGCGACGCCGCGUGAGGGAUGACGGCCUUCGGGUUGUAAACCUCUUUCAGCAGGGAAGAAGCGAAAGUACGGUACCUGCAGAAGAAGCGCCGGCUAACUACGUGCCAGCAGCCGCGGUAAUACGUAGGGCGCAAGCGUUGUCCGGAAUUAUUGGGCGUAAAGAGCUCGUAGGCGGUUAGUCGCGUCUGCUGUGAAAACUCGAGGCUCAACCUCGGGCUUGCAGUGGGUACGGGCUGACUAGAUGCGGUAGGGGUGACUGGAAUUCCUGGUGUAGCGGUGGAAUGCGCAGAUAUCAGGAGGAACACCGAUGGCGAAGGCAGGUCACUGGGCCGCAACUGACGCUGAGGAGCGAAAGCAUGGGGAGCGAACAGGAUUAGAUA
RNAcentral lists this ribosomal RNA (415 nucleotides) under uncultured bacterium. RNAcentral's name for it is "partial 16S ribosomal RNA". It matches the Rfam family "Bacterial small subunit ribosomal RNA", at positions 355 to 784 of the family's 1533-position model. The record is from RNAcentral.